GGAUGUGAGAGCGAUCUGGCUAUGAUAUCUGUCACCCCAUUGAUCACCAGAGUUGAUUCAGCUGAUCUGGCUGGCCAGGUGGGUGUCCCCUUCCUCCCUCACCACUCCAUGUGCAUCCAUCCCUCCCAAAGCUGCAUGUUCAGUCAAGGAUGGCCUUCCCUGUAUAGAGAUGGAUCUAUCUUUGGCGGAGAAUAGCUGAGCUCCCCUGCUAGAACCUCCAAACAAGCUCUCAGGACAAAAUGUUUAACAAACAGGAACCAUAAAGUAGGAAACUUUACAAAAGUAGGGACAUUAGGAGAGAAGGAAACUAGGAAGUCAAUAUUUUAGGAAUGUUUCUAGGAGUCUAU
This is an unclassified non-coding RNA of Erinaceus europaeus (western European hedgehog), 347 nucleotides long. Its record names the gene 7SK. It matches the Rfam family "7SK RNA". Rfam says of the family: 7SK was discovered as an abundant small nuclear RNA in the mid-70s but a possible function has only recently been suggested. Two independent studies have found that 7SK RNA binds the CDK9/cyclin T complex (known as elongation factor P-TEFb). P-TEFb activates transcription by phosphorylating the C-terminal domain of RNA polymerase II. The record is from Ensembl. Lineage: Eukaryota; Metazoa; Chordata; Mammalia; Eulipotyphla; Erinaceidae.